AAACAAAAGCAAGAGAAAAAAAAGGAUGGUUUAUUAUUUUUUACGCUGUUAUGUUUGUUUCCUCAGUAUUUGCUGCAGCUCUGCUUACCCAAGCUUUGGGUUCCUUCUGUCCCACUGGGAGUUGCCCAAUUUGGUUGCAUCUGGUGAAAUUCACCCUGAGACCUUACAGAACCAGCUCCAGCUACGUGAGAGCCAUUUGCAGUUCUCUCCAGACGCCUGGAGAAUGGGCGACGUUUCUGAGGAUCCGGCGAGCGUGCUUCUAUCAAAACUCAGUCUGUGAAAUUCCUGGGGAAAACCCUUCUGUGUCCUGAAGGGUUCAAACUCUGGUGAGGAUCCAGUUAUCAGGUGCUCACCUGGAUGGUUCCAGCUCCCAAAGGGAAAGACUCUCGUAUCCUUGUCGUCGGGCUCGGUGCUGUCCAAGAAGAUACAGAGACUAAAAAAAUCAUAAGAAGCAAAAUAUGACUGCAGGGAAAAGAAGCUGGAGAGAACAGAAGACUCAUCACGGCGGGACAGCGUGAGGACUGAAAGUGUAAGAAGAUGUGGAGGGAAAGAGAGAAUCUGACAGGAGCAUCGGACGCACGAGUGCAGGAAUUUUGCUUUUUUGCUUGGAUGUAAACUCAGGCGUUGAAAGGAAUUUGGGAGUGAGAAGGGACAUUUCAGAAGGAGAAGAAGCAAAAGAAGUUGUUGUUGUUACAGUCCUGGCAAAAUCUUUUGUUCUAGCUAAUAAAAGAAGUUAGUUUAAAAAACAAAAAGGAAAAAA
Molecule: long non-coding RNA, 760 nt
Organism: Melospiza georgiana
Lineage: Eukaryota; Metazoa; Chordata; Aves; Passeriformes; Passerellidae
Exons: 3
Source: RefSeq, a predicted model, not a curated record